AUGGCUUUGUGACUCACGGCACGUAGGCCUCUCUCCCUCUCUCUAUCCGCGACUGGCCCUCUCUUUCUAAUACCUUUCGUCUCUCUCUCACCCCUCUUUCAGCACUCCCUUCUUCGGGCUUCGAGUGUGCAUCUUGAUGCGCAGCUGUCCAAAAGACAUUGAGUUGGGCCCAUUGAACCGCUUUUAUUAUUGGAUGGAUGACUCCUCGGUAUCAUGAUACGAUUUCUUACUUAGUAUAUUGCACAGUGCACAAACAAAAAAUUUGUCUGCUUAGUUGGUCAUUCAUUUCGCACAUGUUUUAAGGUCAAGAAAAACCCCUAGCCGGCGUAUAAGCAACAAGAUGCUUUGGGGGCUAAAUAUCCCUUUGAAAUGCAUAUAAAAUAUUUUUUAGGUCGUAUAUUUCCUUGAGAAAGGAAUUCAACAAGCAAUCUGUGGCUUAUAAGGCUAAAAAGUGAUGUAUUUCAUAACAUAUGGUUCGAUUUUGGCACAAACUGAUUAGAUUAAUACUGGAUGGAAUUUAAUUGAACACACAAAUUCAGGUUGAACCGGCAUUACUUUUGUGAGUGAUUUUGCAGAACUGUAGUAUAAUUUCAUAGUCAACAACCUUUUGGACAACAAACAAAGUGCUUUUACGCAGUCUACCAAAAAGAUUAUAGAAUAAAGAUAAUCUUUCAAUAUUUUUUUUGCGAUGUAAAUUUAUUCAUACUAGAUCCAAGCAGUUACAAGAUUUUAAACCAUACAUAUGCUGAAGUACUUUGCAAAUUGUAAACGUGGAUGUUGAUAAAGUGAGCAGUCAAAAUACAAUUGAAGAGAAUGCCAAAGGCGCAAUUUCUGGAAACGACCGAUAGGGAAAUGCCCUCCCACAAAAUGUAUUUAUUUACGAAUUAUUUUAGCAAGUCAGACAGAAGAAGAAGAAGAGCGGGACGGAGAAAGGGAGAGCGCAAAAAAUAAACCACAACUGACGUCAAGCGGGCCAAGUGCAAAGUAAAGAAACAAGACAUGACAUGAAUGAAAGAACAGGAGCGGGGAGUGAGGCUGACAGAGAGAGAAAGGGUGCGUUGGCAGCUUCUUUGUUGUCAUUCGGAGUUUUGCGGAUUCUUUGUUGUUUCCCUCUCUUUCUCUCCCCCAUUGCAAGAAACAAGUGCAAAGUAAACAAAUAAAAACAGAACGAAAUCAAAAAGCAGACAAAGCAAAGCCUUGAAAAAAAUGGGAUGCGGAUACCAACAAAUUACAAAUAACUCCAUAAAUACAUACACAUGUUAUAGAUACACUCACAACAACAACAACAAGGCGGCAUAACGGGUUACCGUGUUAUUGUUAUGAUUGCAAAAAGGGGAGACGCAAAAAAACACGAAUGAAAGAGCAAAGCAGACGAAAACAAACAACUUACCGCCCAGCAAAUCUUCGCUCGAUUUUGGUGUCGUAGACAUUUUGUUUUUGUUUAUCGGUAUGUGUGUUCAACAC
Drosophila yakuba is the source of this 1464-nucleotide long non-coding RNA. RefSeq lists it as uncharacterized. The record is from RefSeq and is a predicted model, not a curated record. The transcript is spliced from 2 exons. Lineage: Eukaryota; Metazoa; Arthropoda; Insecta; Diptera; Drosophilidae.